AGAGUUUGAUCCUGGCUCAGAGUGAACGCCGGCGGCGUGCUUAACACAUGCAAGUCGAACGAGAACGGUACUAGCUUGCUAGUAUGUCAGCUAAGUGGCGGACGGGUGAGUAAUGUAUAGUUAAUCUGCCCUUUAGAGGGGGAUAACAGUUAGAAAUGACUGCUAAUACCCCAUACUCCUUUAUACUUAAUGUAUAUUGGGAAAGUUUUUUCGCUGAAGGAUGAGACUAUAUGGUAUCAGGUAGUUGGUGGGGUAAGAGCCUACCAAGCCAAUGACGCCUAGCUGGUCUGAGAGGAUGAUCAGCCACACUGGAACUGAGACACGGUCCAGACUCCUACGGGAGGCAGCAGUGGGGAAUAUUGCACAAUGGGGGAAACCCUGAUGCAGCAACGCCGCGUGGAGGAUGACGCAUUUCGGUGUGUAAACUCCUUUUAUAUAGGAAGAUAANGACG
This 452-nucleotide ribosomal RNA is filed under the name uncultured bacterium. RNAcentral's name for it is "bacterial SSU rRNA". It matches the Rfam family "Bacterial small subunit ribosomal RNA", at positions 8 to 456 of the family's 1533-position model. The record is from RNAcentral.